Molecule: ribosomal RNA, 520 nt
Filed under: uncultured marine eukaryote
Lineage: Eukaryota
Description: SSU rRNA
Rfam family: Eukaryotic small subunit ribosomal RNA
Source: RNAcentral
UUGUUGCAGUUAAAAAGCUCGUAGUUGGAUUUCGGAGUGGGCCAGUUGGUCCGCCGCAAGGUGUGUUACUGACUGGUUUGCUCUUCUUCGCAAAGACUGCGUGUGCUCUUGAGUGAGUGUGCGUAGGAUUUACGACGUUUACUUUGAAAAAAUUAGAGUGUUCAAAGCAGGCUAUUGCUUGAAUACAUGAGCAUGGAAUAAUGGAAUAGGACUUUGGUCCCAUUUUGUUGGUUUCUAGGGCCGAAGUAAUGAUUAAGAGGGACAAUUGGGGGCAUCCGUAUUUCGUUGUCAGAGGUGAAAUUCUUGGAUUUACGACAGACGAACAACUGCGAAAGCACUUGCCAAGAGUGUUUUCAUUAAUCAAGAACGAAAGUUAGAGGAUCGAAGACGAUCAGAUACCGUCCUAGUUCUAACCAUAAACGAUGUCGACUAGGGAUCAGCGGGCGUUAUCGUACGACCCCGUUGGCACCUUACGGGAAACCAAAGUUUUUGGAUUCCGGGGGAAGUAUGGUUGCACCGC